Papio anubis (olive baboon) is the source of this 148-nucleotide unclassified non-coding RNA. It matches the Rfam family "Metazoan signal recognition particle RNA". From Rfam's summary of the family: The signal recognition particle (SRP) is a universally conserved ribonucleoprotein. It is involved in the co-translational targeting of proteins to membranes. Lineage: Eukaryota; Metazoa; Chordata; Mammalia; Primates; Cercopithecidae. The record is from Ensembl.
GCCGGGUGUGGUGGCGCGUGCCUGUAAUCCCAGCUACUUGGGAGGCUGAGGCAGGAGAAUCACUUGAACUCGGGAGGCAGGGGCUGUGGUGAGACGAGAUCAUGCCACUGCACUCCAGCCUGGGUGACAGAGUGAGACUCCAUCUCAA